UACAGAGGUGGCGAGCGUUGUUCGGAUUUACUGGGCGUAAAGGGCGCGUAGGCGGUUCCGUAUGUCGGAUGUGAAAUCUCACCGCUCAACGGUGAAAUUGCAUUCGAAACUGCGGGGCUAGAGUGCAGGAGAGGAGAGCGGAAUUCUUGGUGUAGCAGUGAAAUGCGUUGAUAUCAAGAGGAACACCAGUGGCGAAGGCGGCUCUCUGGAAUGCUACUGACGCUGAGGCACGAAAGUUGGGGGAG
Molecule: ribosomal RNA, 245 nt
Filed under: uncultured bacterium
Lineage: Bacteria
Description: partial 16S ribosomal RNA
Rfam family: Bacterial small subunit ribosomal RNA
Source: RNAcentral